GAUGAACGCUGGCGGCGUGCUUAACACAUGCAAGUCGAACGGAAAGGCCCUGCUUUUGUGGGGUGCUCGAGUGGCGAACGGGUGAGUAACACGUGAGUAACCUGCCCUUGACUUUGGGAUAACUUCAGGAAACUGGGGCUAAUACCGGAUAGGAGCUCCUGCUGCAUGGUGGGGGUUGGAAAGUUUCGGCGGUUGGGGAUGGACUCGCGGCUUAUCAGCUUGUUGGUGGGGUAGUGGCUUACCAAGGCUUUGACGGGUAGCCGGCCUGAGAGGGUGACCGGCCACAUUGGGACUGAGAUACGGCCCAGACUCCUACGGGAGGCAGCAGUGGGGAAUAUUGCACAAUGGGCGGAAGCCUGAUGCAGCAACGCCGCGUGCGGGAUGACGGCCUUCGGGUUGUAAACCUCUUUCGCCUGUGACGAAGCGUGAGUGACGGUAAUGGGUAAAGAAGCACCGGCUAACUACGUG
RNAcentral lists this ribosomal RNA (468 nucleotides) under uncultured bacterium. RNAcentral describes it as "partial 16S ribosomal RNA". It matches the Rfam family "Bacterial small subunit ribosomal RNA", at positions 28 to 507 of the family's 1533-position model. The record is from RNAcentral.